Chenopodium quinoa (quinoa) is the source of this 1518-nucleotide long non-coding RNA. RefSeq lists it as uncharacterized. The record is from RefSeq and is a predicted model, not a curated record. Lineage: Eukaryota; Viridiplantae; Streptophyta; Magnoliopsida; Caryophyllales; Amaranthaceae. The transcript has 2 exons.
CUUGACUCAUAAUUCUCAAACACGAGACCGAACCAUCUAGGGAGGACAAAGCCAUCUUUUCGGGGUGGUAACUUUUCUUUUCUAGCAUAGUCUCCAUUAUAUUAGUUCAUUGGGUUUACAAUUGCCUUCUUGCUAACCGUUUGAGCCUUUUCCCUUCUUUUCAAGCCACAUAAGCCUUUUGUUUCUUUUUGUUCCGUUUUUUUUUGUUUUUGUGAAGAAAAUGGUAAUGCUAUUAAACUUUUGUUUUUGAAUUAAUAACGCGAAUUAAUAAGCGACACAAAUAAGUAAUGUGCAGCUUUAAACUUUGAACUAUUUGCGUCACAUUUUAUUAGUUGAGUGACGCAAAUCACUCUUUUGCAUUUAGGUUAUUUCGGAUUCCACUUGCUAGCUGCCUCCCUUUUACUAAAACAAAAACACAGCGCUACUCCUAUCUUCCAAGAACAGCGAUUUCCUAGAGCUAAACACCCAAAAUUUCAAGCAAAAAAACCCCAGAAAUUUGAGCAAAAAAACCCUUGAAAUUCGACCCAUACACCCCAAGAAAUUUGAGCAAAAAUCACGCUGAAAUUCAAGGAAUUUCGCCAAAAACCCCCAUAAAAUCGACCCAAAAACCCCUGGAACCCAAAAACCCCAGAAAUUUGACCCAAAAACCCCCAUAAAUUCCACCAAAAAAACCCCACAAAUUCAACAACCAAACCGCAAUGAUGACAACACCCAUAAUCGGAAAAAAAUUCAGGUUUACAAACCCUUAAUUUCGAGCAAAACAACCAAAAAAAACCCAAAGAAACCCUAGGAAUUUGAGCAUUAAUUCGAGCAAAUUCGAUUAUGGGAAAAUUUGAGCAAAUUUGAGCAAAAAAAUUGAGCAAAUUCGAGCAUUAACUCGAGCAAUUUCAACCAAAAAAAUUGAAUUAAAACCCCAGGAAUUCGUUGAGUGAAUUACUGCCUUUAUAAUUGAAUUUUUGAGUGAAUUACUUGAUUAAUUUAUCCGAGGGUGGACGAGCAAAUUACAGCCUUUAUAAUUGAAGUUCGAUUAGUGUAGCAGUUCGACCAGUGUUCGCCCAAAUCAACUGCAUUUAGGCUCGACAUUGUUCAAUUUGUGAAGUCAAUUUCACCUAAGGCUAAGCUGCUGCUGCGGACAUUUCAGACAAUCCAUGGACUGGAGAAGGUGCAGGAUUCAGACUCUGCAAGACACCUGUAAAAAUAAAAUGAGCACAGUAAAAGCUACAGACUAAAUACAAAAGCAGGCAUGCAUAGAGUGAUGAGGGCGAUACUCGGAGAAUAAUCGCAUGCAUUAAAGUAGUAGAUUCGCUCAUAGUAUUGAAGCAAUGAAUAGUAGUAUUUUCGCAGCACAAAAGAAGCAUUUGUGGCUGUGGAAGGGAAAUUGAAAGUGGCUGUAACAUCUUUCCAUCUUUUUUCUGAGAGUAUCUGCAGACAUGAACAAAAUACUAAUGGAGCAUGAAGGAUAUUGAGAUGUAAAUUAUUGGACAGGUUGUUAAUAUAAUGUCGUCAUUCCCAAUUUUA